UACGUAGGGCGCAAGCGUUGUCCGGAAUUAUUGGGCGUAAAGAGCUCGUAGGCGGUUUGUCGCGUCUGCUGUGAAAUCCCGAGGCUCAACCUCGGGCUUGCAGUGGGUACGGGCAGACUAGAGUGCGGUAGGGGAGACUGGAAUUCCCGGUGUAGCGGUGGAAUGCGCAGAUAUCAGGAGGAACACCGGUGGCGAAGGCGGGUCUCUGGGCCGAUACUGACGCUGAGGAGCGAAAGCGUGGGGAGCGAACAGG
This 253-nucleotide ribosomal RNA is filed under the name uncultured bacterium. RNAcentral's name for it is "partial 16S ribosomal RNA". It matches the Rfam family "Bacterial small subunit ribosomal RNA", at positions 524 to 776 of the family's 1533-position model. The record is from RNAcentral.